Piliocolobus tephrosceles (Ugandan red Colobus) is the source of this 2283-nucleotide long non-coding RNA. The record is from Ensembl. NCBI's taxonomy places the organism in Eukaryota, Metazoa, Chordata, Mammalia, Primates, Cercopithecidae.
AACAGUACAUCAACAUGGUAGUUAUAAAAGGAACAGAAGUGAUGACAGUAAUAGAAGUGAUGACAGUAACAGAAGUGACAACAGUAACAGAAAUGAUAUUAAUAUAUAUGAAUAUAAAGAUAAUAUGCAACCGUAUAAUAAACAAUCUCAUAAUAUAGUUCCAUAUCAUCACCACCGCCACCAUCAACUUGAUAACUACAUAAGCACGAAUGAUACACUUUACAACGAAAUUGAAGACUAUGAUAAAAUGUUUUAUAAAAAUAUAAAAACAAGUAGCAUUAGUAGUAGUAGUAGUAAUGGUAAUGGUAAUGGUAAUGGUAGUGGUAACGGGUUUAUGUUUAAUGAAACUCUAAACAUCACUAAUAGAACUGAUUUGAAUAAUAUAUAUAAUGAAAACAUAAAUAGUUGCAAUAGUAGUAGCGAUGGUAACAACAAUAAUAAUAAUAAUUUUUUAAAAAAUUGUAAUAUAUCAAUAAACGGUAUGCAAGUGAAAGGCAUGCAAGUGAACGGUAUGCAAAUGAACGGUAUGCAAGUGAACGGAGUGCAAGUGAAUGGCAUGCAAGUAAACGGCAUGCAAGUGAACGGUAUGCAAGUGAACAGUAUGCAAGUGAACGGUAUGCAAAUAAAUAGUAUGGCAAUAAAAAAUAACAUACAAAAUCGUAACAUAUCAAAUACUAGUAUGUCUGUUAGUAGUAUGCCUGUUAGUAGUAUGCCUGUAAAUAAUAUGGCUGUAAAUAAUAUGGCUGUAAAUAAUAUGGCUGUAAAUAAUAUGGCUGUAAAUAAUAUGGCUGUAAAUAGCAUGACCGUAAAUAAUAUGGGCGUAAAUAAUAAAAUAAUAACUCAACCAACAUUUCUACAAAAUAAUAUCAUGAUGAUAUCGACACAUACAUGUAGUAAUACAAAUGUUUUAUUAAAUUCGAUGAAUAUACCUAUGAACUUACAAAUGGGUAACCCUAUGAUUAGUUCUACAGGUGGACAUAUGAACAAGCGUAGUUUAUUUUUUGAUUAUGCGUUAAUGCAAAAUUUUAAUAAAAAAUAUAAAAUAUGUUCAAAUACAAGUAAUGUUAGUACUAUAAGCAGUAAUACUAGUAAUUGUAGUGAUCACUCAUUAACAAACGGUUUAAAUAAUUUUCAUACAAUGCCUAUCACAAAUCACGUAUUAGAAUAUAUAAAAGAUGUUAAAUAUGAGUCUGACUAUAUAGAUAAUAGUUGUGAUAACAAAAACUGCAUUACCAAUGAUAUAUACGACAUUACAAGUGGUUCUUUCCCUAAUGAUAAUAUCGGUAGAUACAAUGUAAAUAUGCUAGCAAUAAGCGAAACUAACAACAGUAACAAAGGAAAUAAUAAUAAUAACAACAACAACAACAACAACAGCAACAACAACAACAACAAUAACAAAAAUAGUAACAACAAUAACGACAACAAUAACAACAGCAACGACAAUAAUAACAACAGCAACGACAAUAAUAACAACAGCAACGACAACAAUAACAACAGCAACGACAACAACAACAACAAAAACAUCAACGACAACAACAACAGUAACGACAACAACAACAACAGUAGUAGUAGCAAUAACAAUAACGACAACAACAGUAAUAACACUACCAAAAGAACACGAGUAAACAGUUACAGAAAAAAAACAUCUAAUGGAAAUUACGGAACGUCACCAAAAAUGAAUAAAAGAAACGUAAAAUAUAAAAGCUUUGGUGGUACAGUUAAAAAAAGUGGUGUAUUGUACAACUUAGAAGUGGAAUCAGCAAAAAUUAAAAACACGCCUCUAUGCAUUUAUUCCUUACAAGAUAUAUUUAAUCAUGAUAGAUCAAAUAAAAAAAAUUACAGAUAUGUGGAUGGUUCAUAUGCCACUGUUGAAUGCGAAUGUAAAUUUCAUCAUAAUAUAAAUUGUUUAAAUGAUUAUAUAAUGUUUUUACUUGACAAAAAGAAUAAGGCACUAAAAAAAAAAAAAAAAAAAAAACUAAUAAAAAUGAAAAAGUCAAUUAAUGAUGGUGGUUCUGCUGCUUUUGCUACUUCUGCUGCUACUGGUGAGGUGGAUAUAAAAAAUAAUAUUAAUAAUGGUAAUAAUAAUAAUGUUAGUAAUAGUGAUAAUAAUAAUAAUAAUAAUGAUAAUAAUAAUAAUAAUAAUAACCAAAAUAACUCGGAUAUGUAUAAGGAAAUCGAAAAUAGAGACUUCGGCAGCGACUGCAGUAGUGACUGUAGUAGUGACUGUAGUAGUGACAGUAGUACCGAUGGCAGUAGUGACAGUUGUACCGAAACUGAAAAAAA